RNAcentral lists this ribosomal RNA (571 nucleotides) under uncultured archaeon. Its description in RNAcentral is "bacterial SSU rRNA". It matches the Rfam family "Archaeal small subunit ribosomal RNA", at positions 80 to 654 of the family's 1478-position model. The record is from RNAcentral.
GGCGCACGGCUCAGUAACACGUAGUCAACCUACCCUGGGGACGGGGAUAACCUCGGGAAACUGAGGCUAAACCCCGAUGGGCCAUGGCUCCUGGAAUGGGCUAUGGCUGAAAUCUACAUGGCCCCAGGAUGGGACUGCGGCCGAUCAGGUUGUUGGUGGGGUAAUGGCCCACCAAGCCUAUAACCGGUGCGGGCUCUGAGAGGAGGAGCCCGGAGAUGGGCACUGAGACAAGGGCCCAGGUCCUAUGGGGCGCAGCAGGCGCGAAACCUCCGCAAUGGGCGAAAGCCCGACGGGGUCAGUCCGAGUGGUUCCCGCUGAGGGAACCUUUUGCCAGCUGUAAACAGGCUGGCGAAUAAGGGGUGGGCAAGUUUGGUGUCAGCCGCCGCGGUAAUACCAGCACCCCGAGUGGUCGGGACGAUUAUUGGGCCUAAAGCAUCCGUAGCCGGCCCAGUAAGUCCUCCGUUAAAUCCAACGGCUCAACCGUUGGGCCGCGGGGGAUACUGCUAAGCUAGGGGGCGGGAGAGGCGAGGGGUAUUCCCAGGGUAGGGGUAAAAUCCGUUGAUCCUGGGAG